This 501-nucleotide ribosomal RNA is filed under the name uncultured bacterium. RNAcentral's name for it is "partial 16S ribosomal RNA". It matches the Rfam family "Bacterial small subunit ribosomal RNA", at positions 29 to 523 of the family's 1533-position model. The record is from RNAcentral.
AUUGAACGCUGGCGGCAUGCCUUACACAUGCAAGUCGAACGGCAGCACGGGUGCUUGCACCUGGUGGCGAGUGGCGAACGGGUGAGUAAUACAUCGGAACGUACCUUAUCGUGGGGGAUAACGCAGCGAAAGCUGUGCUAAUACCGCAUACGCUCGGAGGGGGAAAGCGGGGGACCGAAAGACCUCGCGCGACUAGAGCGGCCGAUGCCUGAUUAGCUUGUUGGUGGGGUAAAAGCCCACCAAGGCGACGAUCAGUAGCUGGUCUGAGAGGACGAUCAGCCACACUGGGACUGAGACACGGCCCAGACUCCUACGGGAGGCAGCAGUGGGGAAUUUUGGACAAUGGGGGCAACCCUGAUCCAGCAAUGCCGCGUGAGUGAAGAAGGCCUUCGGGUUGUAAAGCUCUUUUGUCAGGGAAGAAACACCGGCUCUAACACAGUCCGGGAAUGACGGUACCUGAAGAAUAAGCACCGGCUAACUACGUGCCAGCAGCCGCCGUAA